Molecule: long non-coding RNA, 1177 nt
Organism: Homo sapiens (human)
Lineage: Eukaryota; Metazoa; Chordata; Mammalia; Primates; Hominidae
Product: long intergenic non-protein coding RNA 293
Source: Ensembl
GGUACUGCACAGAACAGACAUUGUGACAUAUAUCUAGGCAAAUUGCCUAGAAGUGAAUCCCCUCUCCUGCUUAAGUCCUUCCCACAGAGAGCGGUUUGAUAUGUCACUGAAACCAGCAUCCAGGUGGUAUUGCUCCAUAUGCCUGAGACCCUAACAAAAGCCUAAUUACAACUCAUAUGCCUGGAGCCAGGACAUGUGCAGGAUGACUCUGCCAAGAGAGGGGAUUAUUACAUAUUGCAGAGCCCAGCACCUAGGUGGAGUGACUCUCAUCUUUUUCUUCUACCCCGUAUAUAGCCAGCUUGGUGACCUACUAUUUGAGUCUAUACCCAGGCCCAGACCACAGAUGAAAUUGUGCAAUAUGUGGAACAAACACCUAAACAAUAUAUAACACCUUCCUUGGCUCUGUCUACAAAGGGCACUUUUAUAUAUCACUGGGACCAUCAACCAGGUGAUGUUAAUUAUCUUCCUGAAACCUGUCUACAAAGAGAGUUGUGUCGUAUACCUAGGCCCGUCAUGGUCCUGCGUACUAGGUGGAUUGUGACAUCUCACUGGACCCGCAACCAUGUAGGUCAUGUGACUUUCAUGCCUUCUCACUGGCCACAGGUGAUGUUGUGCCAUAUAACUGAGACCGUAUCAAAAGCCUAAUAACAAGACGUAUGUCUGGAGCCCCGAUAUGCACAGGAUGGUGAUAUAACCCUCUUCUCUGGAAUGGGCCCCACACAAAGGAAGGAUAGUGACAUAUUGCAAGCCCAGGCACACAGGCCCAGAGCACAGUUGAAAUUGUGACAUAUGUACACCAAGCAACCAAGCAAUGUAUAACACCUCAUUUGGCAAUGGAAUCGAGGGCACUUUUACAUAUCACUGAGACCAGCGCCCAGCUGAUGUGAAAUAUUGGCCUGAACCCUGCCUACAAAAGCAUUGUGGCUUUUAUCUAGCUCCAUUACAUAAGUGAUGUGACUUCCUUCUACUGCCUUGGCCCUGCACUUAUGGUGAAUCGUGACACAAAAUUGGGUAGAGCAACCAGCCUGGGCCCUGACCAGCACAGAGAUUGAGGCAUAUUGCUGAACCCAGGACCAAGAUGAAGUCACUCUCCUGCCUUGAUCCUGCACACAGGGACCCUUGUGACAUAUAUACAGGCCAAUUGCCUAGGUGAUGUUGUGCAAUAUACCUGAGACCA